This 545-nucleotide long non-coding RNA is filed under the name Marmota monax (woodchuck). The record is from RNAcentral. Lineage: Eukaryota; Metazoa; Chordata; Mammalia; Rodentia; Sciuridae.
UUACUUGUAUUCUUUAUAAUUGCCAUUCUGACUGAAGUGAAAUGAAAUCUCAGUGUAGUUUUAAUUUGCAUUUCUCUAAUUGCUAGAGAUGUUGAACAUUUUUUUUCAAUAUUUUUUGACCAUUCAUAUUUCUUCUUCUGUGUGAAGUGUCUGUUCAGUUCCUUGGCCCAUUUAUUGAUUGGGUUAUUUAUUUUUCUGGUGUUAAGUUUUUUGAGUGCUUUAUAUAUGCUGAAAAUUAAUGUCUUAUCUAAGGUACUGGUGGUAAAGAUUUUCUCCCAUUCUGUAGGAUCUCUCUUCACAUUAUUGACUGUUUCCUUUGCUGUGAAGGAGCUUUUUGGUUUGAAUCCAUCCCAUUUGUUGAUUCUUGAUUUUGCUUCUUGCACUUUAGGAGUCUUAUUGAGGAAGUCUGUUUCUAAGCCAACAUGUUGGAGAGUUGGGCCUACUUUUUCCUAUAGUAAGUACAGGGUCUCUGGUCUAAUGCCUAGGUCCUUGAUCCACUUAGAGUUACAUUUUGUGCAGGGUGAGAUAUAGGGGUUCAAUUUCAU